AGAAUUUGAUCUUGGUUCAGAUUGAACGCUGGCGGCGUGGAUGAGGCAUGCAAGUCGAACGGAAUAAUGGCUUCGGCUAUUAUUUAGUGGCGGAAGGGUUAGUAAUACAUAGAUAAUUUGUUCUUAACUUGGGAAUAACGGUUGGAAACGGCCGCUAAUACCGAAUGUGGUGUGUUUAGGCAUCUAAAUUACAUUAAAGAAGGGGAUCUUCGGACCUUUCGGUUAAGAGAAAGUCUGUGGGAUAUCAGCUUGUUGGUGGGGUAAUGGCCUACCAAGGCUAUGACGUCUAGGCGGAUUGAGAGAUUGACCGCCAACACUGGGACUGAGACACUGCCCAGACUCCUACGGGAGGCUGCAGUCGAGAAUCUUUCGCAAUGGACGAAAGUCUGACGAAGCGACGCCGCGUGUGUGAUGAAGGCUCUAGGGUUGUAAAGCACUUUCGCCUGGGAAUAAGAGAGAUUGGCUAAUAUCCAAUUGAUUUGAGCGUACCAGGUAAAGAAGCACCGGCUAACUCCGUGCCAGCAGCUGCGGUAAUACGGAGGGUGCUAGCGUUAAUCGGAUUUAUUGGGCGUAAAGGGCGUGUAGGCGGAAAGGAAAGUUAGAUGUCAAAUCUUGAGGCUCAACCUCAAGUCGGCAUCUAAUACUAUCUUUCUAGAGGUUGGAUGGAGAAAAGGGAAUUCCACGUGUAGCGGUGAAAUGCGUAGAUAUGUGGAAGAACACCAGUGGCGAAGGCGCUUUUCUAA
This 743-nucleotide ribosomal RNA is filed under the name uncultured Chlamydia sp. RNAcentral describes it as "bacterial SSU rRNA". It matches the Rfam family "Bacterial small subunit ribosomal RNA", at positions 8 to 732 of the family's 1533-position model. The record is from RNAcentral. Lineage: Bacteria; Pseudomonadati; Chlamydiota; Chlamydiia; Chlamydiales; Chlamydiaceae.